This 484-nucleotide ribosomal RNA is filed under the name uncultured bacterium. RNAcentral's name for it is "partial 16S ribosomal RNA". It matches the Rfam family "Bacterial small subunit ribosomal RNA", at positions 30 to 507 of the family's 1533-position model. The record is from RNAcentral.
AUUGAACGCUGGCGGCAGGCCUAACACAUGCGAGUCGAGCGGAUGAAGGGAGCUUGCUCCUGGAUUCAGCGGCGGACGGGUGAGUAAUGCCUAGGAAUCUGCCUGGUAGUGGGGGAUAACGUCCGGAAACGGGCGCUAAUACCGCAUACGUCCUGAGGGAGAAAGUGGGGGAUCUUCGGACCUCACGCUAUCAGAUGGGCCUAGGUCGGAUUAGCUAGUUGGUGGGGUAAAGGCCUACCAAGGCGACGAUCCGUAACUGGUCUGAGAGGAUGAUCAGUCACACUGGAACUGAGACACGGUCCAGACUCCUACGGGAGGCAGCAGUGGGGAAUAUUGGACAAUGGGCGAAAGCCUGAUCCAGCCAUGCCGCGUGUGUGAAGAAGGUCUUCGGAUUGUAAAGCACUUUAAGUUGGGAGGAAGGGCAGUAAGUUAAUACCUUGCUGUUUUGACGUUACCAACAGAAUAAGCACCGGCUAACUUCGUG